Molecule: long non-coding RNA, 477 nt
Organism: Bufo bufo (common toad)
Lineage: Eukaryota; Metazoa; Chordata; Amphibia; Anura; Bufonidae
Exons: 4
Source: RefSeq, a predicted model, not a curated record
AAGUUCCUGGAGGAGGACAGAGUUUCCUGGAGGAGGACAGGGGUGCCUGGAGGAAGGACAGAGGGGUCUGGAUGAGGACAGAGGUGCCUGGAUGGAGGACAGAGGGGCCUGGAGGAGGAAAGAGGUGCCUGGAGGGAGGACAGAGGGGCCUGGAGGGAGGACAGAGGGGCCUGGAGGGAGGACAGAGGUUCCUGGAGGAGGACAGAGGUGCCUGGAGGGAGGACAGAUGGGUCUGGAUGAGGACAGAGGUGCCUGGACAGAGGACACAGGGGCCUGGAGGGAAGUCAGAGGAGCCUGGAAGAGGACAGAGGUUCCUGGAGGAGGACAGAGGUGCCUGGAGGGAGGACAGAGGCGCCUGGAAGGAGGACAGAGGAGCCUGGAGGGAGGACAGAGGAGCCUGGAGGAGGACAGAGGUGCCCGGAAGGAGGACAAAGGGGUCUGGAUGAGGACAGAGGUGCCUGGACAGAGGACAGAGGG